Molecule: ribosomal RNA, 570 nt
Filed under: Burkholderia cepacia
Lineage: Bacteria; Pseudomonadati; Pseudomonadota; Betaproteobacteria; Burkholderiales; Burkholderiaceae
Description: bacterial SSU rRNA
Rfam family: Bacterial small subunit ribosomal RNA
Source: RNAcentral
GGGGGACCUUCGGGCCUCGCGCUAUAGGGUUGGCCGAUGGCUGAUUAGCUAGUUGGUGGGGUAAAGGCCUACCAAGGCGACGAUCAGUAGCUGGUCUGAGAGGACGACCAGCCACACUGGGACUGAGACACGGCCCAUACUCCUACUGGAGGCAGCAGUGGGGAAUUUUGGACAAUGGGCGAAAUCCUGAUCCAACAAUGCCGCGUGUGUGAAGAAGGCCUUCGGGUUGUAAAGCACUUUUGUCCGGAAAGAAAUCCUUGGCUCUAAUACAGUCGGGGGAUGACGGUACCGGAAGAAUAAGCACCGGCUAACUACGUGCCAGCACCCGCGGUAAUACAUAGGGUGUUUUCGUUAAUCGAAAUUACUGGGCGUAAUGCGCGCGCAGGCGUUUUGCUAAGACCGAUGUGAUAUCCCCGGGCUCAACCUGGGAACUGCUUUGGUGACUGGCAGGCUAGAGUAUGGCAAAGGGGGGUAGAAUUCCACGUCUACCACUGAUAUGCGUAUAGAUGUGGAGGUAUACCUAUGGCGAAGGCUACCCCCUGGGCCACUACUGACUCUCAUGCAAGAAAG